UGCCAAUGGUGUGAGUUAGUGAGAUCUUGGAGAUUUCUUCUUCAAUCUUGGAGAAUGACUAUUACUGAAAAUGAACAUUUCUCCGUCUCAUCAUUUCACUCUAUUAAUUCAGGUAUAUAAUGUGCAAAGUGCCAUGUGACUCAAAAUAUUGAGGUAACAUGGUUAAUUAGAUUGACCAUGAGUUUGGUGAUGUUUGAAGGCAAUUGAAGGGAGUUUUCACAGAGUGAAAAACUGCUGUAUGGUGACUCCAGGUUUGGAUGUACGGACCAAUGGGACUGCCACGGGUACCUGGAAUGGUGGGAGGACAAUCUGAAGGUAAUUAUCGUUGCACACAACGGUAGCGUCCAGGCCUCCAGAGUUCUCACCUUAUCGCCUGAUGUACGGACAGGAGCCACAGCUGUUUACUGAGUGAUUUUUUUUCUAUUGCUAUUUUUGUAUAACGUACUUUGAGGUCACUGAAACUCCACCUGAUGUGAUAGAAGUUGUCAAACCAGAUCAGAACACCUUCGAGGACCACCUUCAGGCACGGGAUGUGGAGAUUUUUGACCAGGUGAGACUGUACAUGGACAAGGCACAGGAGAAACAGAAGGAAAGCCACCAGAUGAGAAUCAAGGGGACCAAGUGCUUCGACAUCCGGGCGAAUGACUUGGCUUGGAAGAAGGACAAAAGGAAGGCGAGACCUGGGAAACCUUGCUGCUCUUUCGCUUCUGGCUGGGGUCCCCAUCUGUUAAGGACCUAGGGGUUCUGCCUAAAACCCAGACAUGGAUCCACUUGAUCCUCCUUUACCAACCACCCUCCAACUUUUCAUUGCAUCAGCUACUCUUAUUGUCAUGUGGUCAUUAUCUGCUAAGAAAGAGCAAGAAAAUGAUCUUACUGGGCACAUAAUGUGAGAUGCACAGAUAAGCUAAAAACACUAGCACUGCAAACACUCAGAACAAAGAGAGCAGCAGCGCCUGGACUUUGCAGUUUCCCUCUUCGAGUCCCCCUUCCGAGACUGACUGCCUGUUGAAAACAAGUGACAGGCUGAAUCUCCCAUCCACACAGCACCCACCUCCUCUCCAUUCCACACGCCAGAAUUCAGUAUUUCAGUCUGAUUGCCAUGUGAGUGUACAAAAAAAUCUGUGAAUGUAAACGGACACACGUACCAAAAAAAUAUACAUCUUUUUUUAUUUAAAUUUAAAAUAUUGCCAGCUUGGUAUUCACAGGUGUUUCAUGAGGUGUUUAUUAUUGUUAUUUGUUAGCUCAAUAUUAUUCAUUGUUGUAGCUAUGAUUUGUAAAAAAUAAAAUCAUAAUAUUAUUUCUGUGUAGAUAAGGGAAGGCCUGUUUUAAAGUGAAAACAUCCCAGACAGACAAACCAGUGUAUGAAUCAAAUGUAUUUGCAUAUAAAUGGAGUGGAAAGUGGAUGACUUUGUGAUCAGCAAGGUAAGAAACAAUGUGUGGAGGGGUUCAUUAAAAUAUACAUGUUUUUUUUUUACCCCAAUGUCUAUUUAUUCAUAAAAAGCAGAAGAUGGCAAGUAACAUUAAUAGGAAUACAUUAGCCUGAUCGGUAACAAAUAUGACGUGGGGAAAAGUCAGGGCCCUCAUUUAUUAACGUUGUGUACGAAUAGAAAUGUUCGUAAACCAUGCGUGCGAUCAUUUCUAAGCAAAGUGGGAUAUAUCCAUUUGUACUUAUACUUGAAUGUGUGUAAAAAUUUAAGCGGACCUCUGACCAUGUGGUAGAAAAGUCAAACUGCUAAUGAAAUGCCAUCCACCAAAUGGAGAAAGGAUUGACAUACUGGACCCAAAUCAUAAACUAUGACGAAAAAAGUUAAUACAUGAAUAGUUUCUUUUUCUUUUAUAGACACUUAAGCUACUAAUAGUUUUCUUAGGGUGCUAUCGAAUAUAUAAACAUGAAACCAUUUAAGCCUAAUUGAAUAAAGUUCAUUAGAAAGAGUGGAAUGUAAGGUUGGAGGCAAUUUAGUUAAACCAGUUAAAUAAUAUAAAAGGCAACACUGAGGCAUUGUGACUUGUCCAAAAUGGCAAAUAUUGCAUUGCUGGAGGAUCUGGCACAAGCCCCAUUAUGCAGGGAGUGUAUUUUCAAUGCGCAUGCAGAUUUUUUUUGCUGAGUGCGACGCUUGACCUAUUAGAUUUCGUUUUCAAGGCAUAUUUUAUUGUGUCUCUGUAACCAACUCUAACCAGUAUUAGAAAGGGAGACGAAACGCCCCAGUGCAUACCAACGUCUUCUCCCUGGGAGUUUUAGCCACUGGAACAUUCUAACGGCAGAAUGCAGAUCGGUCAGGCAUUUUAAAACCAACCAGGAGCCGAAUAUUGCCUGCAGUCCUCAUGGCAUUAUUUAAUUGAUCCCACAAUACAUACAGUUUCCGUGCAACAGGCCAGAGUGAAAAGGAUUUCCAUAGCUGGAUUUCCCAAUGUCAUUGGAGAAAUUGACUGCAACCACAUCACAAUAAAAGCACCACUGAACAAAUUCAACUUCGUCAAAACUAAAGGUUUCCAUUCUGUCAAUGUGCAGGUCGUCUGUGAUUCACAUUUGGCUUUGUUGAAUGUAGUGGCCAAACGGCCAGGUGGGGGACAAUUAAUUCAUUGUGCAAAACAGUUCAGUUGGCCUUCACCUCCAGGAAGGAGCUGUUGAGGAUGGAUGGCUUAUUGGUAAGCAACACAUUUCAUUUGCAAGGUUUCAUUUGCCAUGUUAGACCUCUACUGGGAAACUAAAUGUUGUGUUCAUAACUGCAGGAGACCGGGGCUACCAAAUUAAAACAUGGCUGAUGACUCCUCUCAAACCAAUGUACAAUCAAGCCCACGCAUGCAUAAGAACAGUGGAGCGCACCAUAGGCCUGCUGAAAUGGCGUUGGCUGUUCUUGUCUGGGACAGCAAUACCAGCCUAGCAAGGCUUUCCUCAAAUGACAUUCUUUCAAAUGCCAUUAUGUGAAUGUAAUACAAUGUGAAAAUUCCUUUUUAGGUUUGCUACAUUGUCAAGGCUUGCAGUGUGCUCAACAAGAGUCAAUAUCAUACGGUUUUAGGUAUGUUCUUCCAAAUAUAAUCAAAUCGACAAGGAAAACGCGUUUACAUUGCACCAGAAUUUGUCUCACAUGUUUGACACAAACAAGUUAUUUCAAUUAUUGUUUCUUUCUCCAGCAGUUGCGAACAUCCACCAGUUGCUGUUUGAAUCUGAGAAUUGAUGUGUUGAUCUCUUCUUGUUGUUUCAGGACUGCGUCAGCCAAAGCAGCUGAAGCGCUCACCAACGAGGACACCCUUGUAGCCCUGGAAAUGGCUGAGGGGUCAGGCAAAUCAGCCACCUCUGUGAAGACUUCAUGUUUUGUUAUAUUUAUUUUGUUACAUAUAACAAAUAUGUAGAUGUGGCCCAUGUCUGAAUAUGGUUGCAAAAAUAAAGCUUGACUUACCAUCA
Molecule: long non-coding RNA, 3403 nt
Organism: Oncorhynchus tshawytscha (Chinook salmon)
Lineage: Eukaryota; Metazoa; Chordata; Actinopteri; Salmoniformes; Salmonidae
Source: Ensembl